RNAcentral lists this long non-coding RNA (261 nucleotides) under Pandoravirus dulcis. RNAcentral describes it as "putative ncRNA". The record is from RNAcentral.
CUUAAAAGGACAGACUUUUUUUCGCCAUUGUUUUCUUUCUCUCCUUUUUGUUUCUUUUGUCGAGGCUGGUUUCGCAUGGAAGUGGGCGCCGCCUAGUCGUCCUUUUUCCUCUUGGGAUCAUGGGGGGUAUCUGUGUCGCUCCUGGCGAGCGCGUCUCGCACCGACUCCAUCACGGCGCCGCCCAGCCUGCGUCGGCCCGGCAACAGAAAAAAAACCGAGGAAGAGGAAGAACAAACACGGCCCACGCAAAAGAUAUGGAGC